RNAcentral lists this ribosomal RNA (497 nucleotides) under uncultured bacterium. Its description in RNAcentral is "partial 16S ribosomal RNA". It matches the Rfam family "Bacterial small subunit ribosomal RNA", at positions 28 to 507 of the family's 1533-position model. The record is from RNAcentral.
GAUGAACGCUGGCGGCGUGCCUAAUACAUGCAAGUCGAGCGAACGGACGAGAAGCUUGCUUCUCUGAUGUUAGCGGCGGACGGGUGAGUAACACGUGGAUAACCUACCUAUAAGACUGGGAUAACUUCGGGAAACCGUAGCUAAUACCGGAUAAUAUUUUGAACCGCAUGGUUCAAAAGUGAAAGACGGUCUUGCUGCCACUUAUAGAUGGAUCCGCGCUGCAUUAGCUAGUUGGUAAGGUAACGGCUUACCAAGGCAACGAUGCAUAGCCGACCUGAGAGGGUGAUCGGCCACACUGGAACUGAGACACGGUCCAGACUCCUACGGGAGGCAGCAGUAGGGAAUCUUCCGCAAAGGGCGAAAGCCUGACGGAGCAACGCCGCGUGAGUGAUGAAGGUCUUCGGAUCGUAAAACUCUGUUAUUAGGGAAGAACAUAUGUGUAAGUAACUGUGCACAUCUUGACGGUACCUAAUCAGAAAGCCACGGCUAACUACGUG